This 402-nucleotide ribosomal RNA is filed under the name uncultured bacterium. Its description in RNAcentral is "bacterial SSU rRNA". It matches the Rfam family "Bacterial small subunit ribosomal RNA", at positions 358 to 774 of the family's 1533-position model. The record is from RNAcentral.
GGAAUAUUGGGCAAUGGGCGAAAGCCUGACCCAGCAACGCCGCGUGAGUGAAGAAGGCCUUCGGGUUGUAAAGCUCUGUUAUAGGGGACGAAGGAAGUGACGGUACCCUAUAAGGAAGCCCCGGCUAACUACGUGCCAGCAGCCGCGGUAAUACGUAGGGGGCGAGCGUUGUCCGGAAUGACUGGGCGUAAAGGGCGUGUAGGCGGCCUGAUAAGUCUGGAGUGAAAGUCCUGCUUUUAAGGUGGGAAUUGCUUUGGAUACUGUCGGGCUUGAGUGCGGAAGAGGUAAGUGGAAUUCCCAGUGUAGCGGUGAAAUGCGUAGAGAUUGGGAGGAACACCAGUGGCGAAGGCGACUUACUGGGCCGUAACUGACGCUGAGGCGCGAAAGCGUGGGGAGCGAACA